RNAcentral lists this long non-coding RNA (2688 nucleotides) under Homo sapiens (human). RNAcentral's name for it is "non-protein coding lnc-CMTM3-3:1". The record is from RNAcentral. Lineage: Eukaryota; Metazoa; Chordata; Mammalia; Primates; Hominidae.
AGGGAGGGAGGUGGGAGCCAGGAGAGGGAAGGAGGCGGGAGCGGGCGCGCCGGGCCGGGAGAGGCGGAGCCAGGCCGCAGCCGGCCGCUCGGAGGCGCUCCGCGGCUCGAGCGAGGUGGAGGCGGCGGCGCCGCGGGCCUCGGGGAGGGGCGGGGCGAGGCGGGGCGCCGGCUCCUCAGGCCCCGCCCUGGCCCCGCCCCCACCUGCGCCUAGAGCCGGGGCGGGAGCCGCUGGUGGGCGCUGGCGAUCCCGGCACGCGGGGCGAUGGGGUUCAGGCAGCGGGGUCUUGGGGCUGAGGAAAGGGUCGAGGUGGACCUGGAGGCCAUGGAGUUGCUUUCCCAGACGCUGCCUCAGGUUCUCCUUUGAAGAAAGUGGGGUCCUCGACGCAUAGGGUGGGGAGCUUCUCGGUAAAGACAGAGACGGGCUGCGCCACCCGGGUGCCGGGAACGGUGCGUGGCCAGGGUGGGCUUGACUCAGACUAUUGGGCCGACGAGAGGUGGGUAAGUGCCUGUGUUCUCACGCUGGGCGCCUGGAACAAACCGGUUCCGAGGCCAGGGGCGGGCGGGGCAGGGUGAGGAGCCGCCCCACUGCAGGUUGUCCCCGCCGGCCUGACCCAGGCGACUGACAUGUUCCUCUCCUCUCAGCUGAAAAGCUUUGCUAGCUCUGUCUACGCAUAAAGUAAGGUUAAACACAGAUUUUGCCCCGAAGGGCAUUAAUUAGGGACCAAUUUACAAUUCAAGUGUGAAGGCUAAUUUUAAGCUAAGUAAAACACUGACUAAGAAGUGUCGCUUUGAUAUUGAACCCUUCCACAACCACAAAUACCGAGAGCUUGCCAUGUUCUAGGCACUGAGCAAGGCGCUUGAAGAACGUAUCGUUGUUAUUUCUAUUUUACAGAAGAAGAGACUAAGGCUGCAGACUGGAAGUAGCUUGUCCAAGGUCACACAGUUCAUUGGUGGGCAGAGCCCAGGUUCCUACUUUUUCUUUUUUUAAAAAAAAGUUAUUUAUUAUUUUCAUCAUCAUUAUUUUUGUAGAGAUAGGGCCUCACUGUGUUGCCCAGGCUGAUCUCGAACUCCCGGGCUCAGGGGAUCCUCCUGCCUCAGCCUCCCAAAUUGCUGGGAUUACAGGUGUGACUGACCAUGCCCAGCCCUCAACUUUUUCAAAGAUAGGAAGGACAGUGACUCUAAUACUGUUGUCCUUCUGUAUGGGGGCAAGAGAGGGAGCUUGUUUUCAGGACCCCCUCAAAUACCAAAAUCUGAAGAUGCUCUCAAAUCCUUUAUAUAAAAUGGUGUAGUAUUUACAUAUAACCUACACACAUCUUCUCGUAUACUUUAAAUAAUUGUUCUACUGUAUUACUUUUUAUCUAUAUUUUUGUGUGUGCGUGUGUGUGUUGUUUGGGGGUUUUUUGUGUGUGUGUUUUCUGAGACAGAGUCUUGCUCAUCACCCAGGCUGGAGCGCUGUGGUGAGAUCUCUGCUUACAGCAACCUCCACCUCAAGCGAUUCUCCCACCUCAGCCUCCCGAGCAGCUGGGACCACCACGCCCAGCUAAUUUUGGCAUUUUUAGUAGAGACAGGGUUUCACCAUGUUGGCCAGGCAGAUCUCAAACUACUGGCCUCAAGUGAUCUACCCACCUCAGCCUCCCAAAGGGCUGGGAUUACAGAUGUGAGCCACCGUGCCCCACCUGUUUUUCUGUUUUGUUUUGUUUUGUUUGUUUUUAAAAUAGACUUUUCACUCUGUCAUCCAGGCUGGAGUACAGUGGUACAAUCAUAGCUCACUGUAACCUCGACCCCCUAGACUUAAGCAAUCCUCCUGUCUCAGCCUUCUAAGUAACUGGGACUACAGGCAUGCCACCACCAUGCCUGGCUAAAUUGUUUUUUCUUUCUUUUUUUUUGGAGAUGGGGUCUCAUUAUGUUGCCCAGGCUGGUCUCAAACUUCUGGUCUCAGCAGUCCUCCCACUUCAGCCUCCCAAAGUGCUGGGAUUACAGGCAUGAGCCACCACAUCCAGCUUAUUUUUUAUUGUUUUUUCCAAAUAAUUUUUUUUUUUGAGACGGAGUCUCAUUCUGUCACCCAGUGGCAUGAUUGCUGCGCACUACAACCUCCACCUCCCAGGUUCAAGCAAUUAUUCAUGCUUCAGCCUCCUGUGUAGCUGGGAUUACAGGUACCGACUAACACGCCUGGCUAAUUUUUGUGAUUUUAGUAGAGACGGGGUUUUGCCAUGUUGGCCAGGCUGGUCUUGAAUUCCUGACCUCGAGUGAUCUGCCCACCUUGGCCUCCCAAAGUGCUGUGAUUACAGGCAUAAGCCACUGUGCCCAGCCUAUUUUAUUCCAAAUUUUUUUUUAUCAGCAGUUGGUUGAAUCCAUAGCUGCAGAAACCACAGAUAUAGAGGACUGACCCUAAAUCAACAAAUAUUUAUUGGGCACUUACUAUGGAUUAAGCAAUAUACUAAGAACUUGAGAUAGACAAUGGUGCUAGACGGUGGUGACAUUGAGUGGUUGGAUGUAGACUCUUGCCUCUGCUUUCUCCCAAAAUCCCAGUGAAAUGACAGUUACAGGGAUUUUUUUGAGGGGGUGGGGUUGGGCAUUAAACUGUUGGGAUAAAGAAUGGCAAAGGAGGCAGGGCACCAUGGUGCAUGCCUGUAAUCCUAGCACUUUGGGAGGCUGAGGUGGCAGUUCACUUGAGGUCAAGAGUUCA